CUAGUGGCCAGUGAGGCCCGCAGCAGCUCACAGCCUGCAGGGGUGGUUUUGAGGCGGGGGCUACAAGCACUCGCCGGGGCCGCGGCGCUGCGGGCUCCAUCGGGCAGCUCGCACCGCCUGAGCGCCCGCUGCUUCCACGCCCGGCAGGUUCAACAAACACCUGGAUCGCGGCUUCAACUCGUGCGCGCGCAGCGACCUGUACUUCGUGCCACUGGAGGGCUCCAAGCUGGCCAAGAAGCGGGCCGACCUGGUGGAGAAGGUGCGGCGCGAGGCCGAGCAGCGCGCGCGCGAAGAAAAGGAGCGCGAGCGCGAGCGGGAACGCGAGAAAGAGCGCGAGCGCGAGAAGGAGCGCGAGCUUGAACGCAGCGUGAAGUUGGCUCAGGAGGGCCGUGCUCCGGUGGAAUGCCCAUCUCUGGGCCCAGUGCCCCAUCGCCCUCCAUUUGAACCGGGCAGUGCGGUGGCUACAGUGCCCCCCUACCUGGGUCCUGACACUCCAGCCUUGCGCACUCUCAGUGAAUAUGCCCGGCCUCAUGUCAUGUCUCCUGGCAAUCGCAACCAUCCAUUCUACGUGCCCCUGGGGGCAGUGGACCCGGGGCUCCUGGGUUACAAUGUCCCGGCCCUGUACAGCAGUGAUCCAGCUGCCCGGGAGAGGGAACGGGAAGCCCGUGAACGAGACCUCCGUGACCGCCUCAAGCCUGGCUUUGAGGUGAAGCCUAGUGAGCUGGAACCCCUACAUGGGGUCCCUGGGCCGGGCUUGGAUCCCUUUCCCCGACAUGGGGGCCUGGCUCUGCAGCCUGGCCCACCUGGCCUGCACCCUUUCCCCUUUCAUCCGAGCCUGGGGCCCCUGGAGCGAGA
This 855-nucleotide small RNA is filed under the name Pan troglodytes (chimpanzee). RNAcentral describes it as "retained intron". The record is from RNAcentral. Lineage: Eukaryota; Metazoa; Chordata; Mammalia; Primates; Hominidae.